AAAAUGCUUUUCACUAGUUUGAAAGAGGGGAGGGCAUUCAAGGAGAUGAAAAUAAUGUUAAAUGUGUUAAUCCAGCUCGUGAAAGACUGACAUCACAGUGACGGAGUAAACAGUAACUUGAUGCUCUCCUUAUCUCUGAGGCUGAGUCAUUUGUAAACGUCCAAGCAAGAGUAAAGACCAAGAAAGAGAAAGAGAGAAACACAAUGAAUGCAUGCAGACUGAUUAAAAUGUCCUUAGUCUUAAAGUUGAUGCUUCAGAUUACAGGUAAGAUUACAAUACAUACAUUUAAAGCCAUGUUUUGCAUUUCUGUUUUUCUGAGCAGUAGCAGUUUGGGUAAGUCCAACCAUCUUCACGUCACAGAGCUGGCCAUAACGUCACUUUGUCUUGUGAAAACGUGAUAGAUGGUCAGCAUAACUGUAACUGUAAUACCUGCUCUUCAUUUACAGAAACACUGCAGUAAUAAAGCUGAUAAUCUGUUACAGUUGAGGAUGUUGGUCGUUAUGACCGUCAACAUUACAAAUCAGGAAUAAAACAAGAUCAAGAUACUGAGGUUGCUCUUUAUGUUAUUGACAGUGAGUAUUUAUAUUAUAUUUUGAGCUCAAACUGUCUUUUUAUAGCAGCAUACUAAAAUAAUAAAAUCAUUAAUAAAGGAAAUAAGUUAUUGUUUUUCUGUUCAAACUUUACUCGCACAAAAUUGAUAUCUUCACCACUGGAAAUAUGUUAGAAAAAUAAUAAUGUCACCUUGUAUUCCUGUUUGUUGACAUACAAACACUGCCAUCAUAUAGUGGAGUGGGUGUUUGAAGGUAAUGACAAAAUAUCCUCAGACCUGGAUGUAUCACCACAUACCUUCUCUGUAACACUGACUUUUACCACACCGCACCUUAAACUGAAGUCAAGGAAUUAUGAGUUACUGAAAGCGACUGAUGAGCACACUGAAGGUGUGCAGCUGUUUACCAUCACCCAGGCAUCAGGUGGGAACACAGGUGAAGAUGCAAAGGGAACAACAACAGUUACAUCUGUCAACACCAACACCAGCAAAGCUAAAAGAUUUGUUGAGAUCCAUCAUUGUCUCUGUGGUUUUAGCAGAACCUUUGCUAUCGACUGUAACAGUCAACAUGUGGACAAAAAGUAAAGGUGCAUAAUGACGAAGGCACAACGAACUGUGAACACUAAAGACCCUUUGCCUUCUGUCAGAUUCCACUGAUCAAAAACAUCAACGAACGAAAGAAACCCGUCUAUUUCUGUUACAGAUCACAUCAUUACAUUUUACAUGUAAACAACAAAUGCAGGAGAUCAUUUUACUACUUUGCUGAGACAGUGAAAGAUGUGUCUUCAUGGGCUUUUGUUUCUUUACAAACAGUUAUCAAUGAGUGGUACAUACAGUAUUGUACCAUUAAUGUUAUUUUUCUCAGAAGUUGUCACAAAUAAUGAAAUAAAGAGAAAGUGUCUUGUUAAACACCACAAGAUGGCACCUCAGAGCAAAACAAAGUGCAAGGUAACUUGAGUUCAUAUAUAUAUAUAUAUAUAUAUAUAUAAGCCAUAGUACUUCUGUGUAAUCCCUGUGUCUUUGGUAGUUCAGCCAACAUAUUGGGAGUAGAUAUGGUUGGGCUACCCUUUGACCGCUUGACAUUGCUGUUACAUACCUUAGAAACAAACCUGUUUGUAAACAAACUUGCAAAAACCCUUAAAAUGACUCCCAAAUCAGAGCUGACGGAGCAACU
This is a long non-coding RNA of Oreochromis aureus, 1721 nucleotides long. The record is from Ensembl. Lineage: Eukaryota; Metazoa; Chordata; Actinopteri; Cichliformes; Cichlidae.